UCGAGGAUCUUCGGCAAUGGGGGCAACCCUGACCGAGCGACGCCGCGUGUGCGACGAAGGCCUUCGGGUUGUAAAGCACUGUCGAGGGGGAGAAAGGCCGAAAGGCGUGAUCUAUCCCUGGAGGAAGCUCGGGCUAAGUUCGUGCCAGCAGCCGCGGUAAGACGAACCGAGCGAACGUUGUUCGGAAUAACUGGGCUUAAAGGGCGCGUAGGCGGGCCGCCAAGUUCGAGGUGAAAUCCUCCGGCUCAACCGGAGAACUGCCUCGAAUACUGGAGGCCUCGAGGCGGGUAGGGGCAUGCGGAACUGUGGGUGGAGCGGUGAAAUGCGUUGAUAUCCACAGGAACUCCGGUGGCGAAGGCGGCAUGCUGGACCCGAUCUGACGCUGAGGCGCGAAAGCCAGGGGAGCAAACGGGAUUAGAUACCCCCGUAGUCC
RNAcentral lists this ribosomal RNA (433 nucleotides) under uncultured bacterium. RNAcentral describes it as "bacterial SSU rRNA". It matches the Rfam family "Bacterial small subunit ribosomal RNA", at positions 355 to 796 of the family's 1533-position model. The record is from RNAcentral.